RNAcentral lists this long non-coding RNA (304 nucleotides) under Pan troglodytes (chimpanzee). RNAcentral's name for it is "lincRNA". Lineage: Eukaryota; Metazoa; Chordata; Mammalia; Primates; Hominidae. The record is from RNAcentral.
GCUCCGGUAUAUUGCAAAUAACCUUCUUUCUUUCUGUUCCCGGGCGGCUUCGGACCCCUGUCGGAGAGUAAAUCCCAAGAAUGGAACAGAUAAGAAGAUACUGAGAUUGGACGGUGCUGCCGUGCGGCCGCCGCAGGACAGUUUUAAUAUCCCUGUUUCUCAGGCUGUAGAUGAAGGGGUUCAGCAUGGAGGUGAUCACCGUGUACAUCACUGAGGCCACUGCAGCCUUUCUCGGGGAAGAUGACACAUCUGAACUGAGGUACCCUCCAACGCCUGUUCCGUAAAAUCAGCAAACAACUGACAG